This 619-nucleotide ribosomal RNA is filed under the name uncultured bacterium. Its description in RNAcentral is "bacterial SSU rRNA". It matches the Rfam family "Bacterial small subunit ribosomal RNA", at positions 1 to 615 of the family's 1533-position model. The record is from RNAcentral.
UAGAGUUUGAUCAUGGCUCAGAUUGAACGCUGGCGGCAGGCCUAACACAUGCAAGUCGAGCGGCAGCACAGGGGAACUUGUUCCCUGGGUGGCGAGCGGCGGACGGGUGAGUAAUGGCUGGGAACCUGCCCUGAUGUGGGGGAUAACAGUUGGAAACGACUGCUAAUACCGCAUGAUGUCUACGGACCAAAGAGGAGGACCUUCGGGCUUCUCGCGUCAGGAUGGGCCCAGUUGGGAUUAGCUAGUUGGUAGGGUAAUGGCCUACCAAGGCGACGAUCCCUAGCUGGUUUGAGAGGAUGAUCAGCCACACUGGAACUGAGACACGGUCCAGACUCCUACGGGAGGCAGCAGUGGGGAAUAUUGCACAAUGGGCGCAAGCCUGAUGCAGCCAUGCCGCGUGUGUGAAGAAGGCCUUCGGGUUGUAAAGCACUUUCAGCAGUGAGGAAGGUUACGUAGUUAAUACCUGCGUGAUUUGACGUUAGCUGCAGAAGAAGCACCGGCUAACUCCGUGCCAGCAGCCGCGGUAAUACGGAGGGUGCGAGCGUUAAUCGGAAUUACUGGGCGUAAAGCGCAUGCAGGCGGUCUGUUAAGCAAGAUGUGAAAGCCCCGGGCUUAACCU